This 874-nucleotide ribosomal RNA is filed under the name Pseudopithomyces sacchari. RNAcentral's name for it is "SSU rRNA". It matches the Rfam family "Eukaryotic small subunit ribosomal RNA", at positions 121 to 1006 of the family's 1831-position model. The record is from RNAcentral. Lineage: Eukaryota; Fungi; Ascomycota; Dothideomycetes; Pleosporales; Didymosphaeriaceae.
UUGAUAGUACCUUACUACUUGGAUAACCGUGGUAAUUCUAGAGCUAAUACAUGCUAAAAACCCCAACUUCGGGAGGGGUGUAUUUAUUAGAUAAAAAACCAAUGCCCUUCGGGGCUCCUUGGUGAUUCAUGAUAACUUCUCAGAUCGCAUGGCUUUACGCCGGCGACGGUUCAUUCAAAUUUCUGCCCUAUCAACUUUCGAUGGUAAGGUAGUGGCUUACCAUGGUUUCAACGGGUAACGGGGAAUUAGGGUUCGAUUCCGGAGAGGGAGCCUGAGAAACGGCUACCACAUCCAAGGAAGGCAGCAGGCGCGCAAAUUACCCAAUUCCGAUACGGAGAGGUAGUGACAAUAAAUACUGAUACAGGGCUCUUUUGGGUCUUGUAAUUGGAAUGAGUACAAUUUAAACCUCUUAACGAGGAACAAUUGGAGGGCAAGUCUGGUGCCAGCAGCCGCGGUAAUUCCAGCUCCAAUAGCGUAUAUUAAAGUUGUUGCAGUUAAAAAGCUCGUAGUUGAACCUUUGGCCUGGCUGGCAGGUCCGCCUCACCGCGUGCACUUGUCCGGCCGGGCCUUUUCUUCUGGAGAACCGCAUGCCCUUCACUGGGUGUGUUGGGGACCAGGACUUUUACUUUGAAAAAAUUAGAGUGUUCAAAGCAGGCCUUUGCUCGAAUACGUUAGCAUGGAAUAAUAGAAUAGGACGUGCGGUCCUAUUUUGUUGGUUUCUAGGACCGCCGUAAUGAUUAAUAGGGACAGUCGGGGGCAUCAGUAUUCAUUGUCAGAGGUGAAAUUCUUGGAUUAUUGAAGACUAACUACUGCGAAAGCAUUUGCCAAGGAUGUUUUUCAUUAUCAGUGAACGAAAGUUAGGGGAUCGGAGGAC